Molecule: long non-coding RNA, 785 nt
Filed under: Homo sapiens (human)
Lineage: Eukaryota; Metazoa; Chordata; Mammalia; Primates; Hominidae
Description: PREDICTED lncRNA (TCONS_00275829)
Source: RNAcentral
CAUGAGUGGAGUUUGGGGUACAGGGAUGAAGUCAUCACUCACCCCAUUUCUUACUGUUUCAUAGUUUUUCCUACCUCCUAUUUUCCCCCCACCCUGUUGUAUAUGACAGAAAUAUGUUUCCUUUGCGCUCCUGAGGGGCUUGAUGAAAACCUUAUACUAUGUCUGCUGGACAGGACACUGGAGCAAGAGAUACUGGAGAUCUCUCUGCAUCCUGGCACCAAACCCAAACCAGUAACUCUGGGACAUUCUUGACUGAGGGUUAACCUCAGAAACCUGGUAAUCCAUAUGAUCCCACAGCUAUGCCUCAUGGCCCAAAGGGCAGGAUUUCAUCUCCACCGUCCUUUUCUUCAACGUGAAGGGCUGUUGACCCUACUCACAGAGGGCUCUGUGUUGAACCAAGGUGCUUCAUGCAACAGUCCCAGCUGAGCUCCCAGCAGAUGCCAGCACCAUUCGCUAUCCAUGAUAAGCCUCUGAUGCAAUCACUUGUGUUAAGAAAUUGAGAGAAUGUUGAUAUAAACUGCUCCCUGAGCCAUAUGGAAAGCUGUAUCUUCUGCAGGUUGCUUGGUGAGUAUGCAAGGAGUACAAGGUAUAUUUAUUCACUUUGAGAAGUGUUUCUCUAAGAAGGUAUCCUGAAAUAUUUUCUCCUGCUACAGGGAUAGCCCUUAACAAGGAAGUCACUUUCCUUGGGCACACAUAGACAGGGCUCCUUCAGCAGACAGCAGAUAGAUAUGCAAUGCAGGCCUUGUUUUUUUGUGAUGGUCCCAAUGUAUCACUGGAUAAGUCUG